UUAUGCAGCACAAUAGAUGUGGAGAUAUGUUUAGAAGAACUUCACAUUUUUACUGUGUUAAUAUCCUGCUAAAGAUGAAGUAUACUGCUCAUCUCUUGACUGAGAGGAGAUGAGGGGUAGGUGUGGAAUCACAGCAGACCCCAGUCCCAGCCCCAGCCCCAGCCCCAGCCAAAGGAUAGGAAAGUAUUGGAGUACUUGGCUUAGCAUAGUAUGGUAAAGAAAAGAUCCCAUGGAUCUGUGAAGUAAAAAUGCCCUUUGUGAUGUUUGAUUUGUACAGAGUGGUAAGCAGCAGAAUCUGGAGUAGUAUUCCAGAAGACCUUAUGAUCUGACUAUUAAUAGUUGGAGUGUGGUUAAACAAUAUCUGUCAUGGAGGUUGGUUUAGUUUUUUUCUUAAAGGAUACCAAAGCCAUCCUUCAGACUUAAUUAACUUAGGGCACUAAUACUUGGUCCACUGCCAUAACUUUCAAGCAUCUUAAGUUCAAAAAUCAACUCAAGAAGAGGUAAGAGUAGUUCUUUCUUCAUAUCAACAGAACAAUAUUGCCGAGACUGAGACAGACACUAUGUGGAUCUCUAACAUAGUGGACUGUAGAAUAUUUCUCAUUCCUUAAAGAGGUUUCCUUAAAGAGAAGAUCUCUUCCUAUAUACAUUCUGAAAGAUUUGAUUUAAAGGGCCCAUGUCUUUUUUUUGAGAUCAAAACACAUCACCACCAAUCAUCCUGGCAGAUAUGCACCAUUAUCAUCAGCAUUUUGUAGAAAUAAAAACAAAUGGGUGAGUU
Sarcophilus harrisii (Tasmanian devil) is the source of this 775-nucleotide long non-coding RNA. RefSeq lists it as uncharacterized. Lineage: Eukaryota; Metazoa; Chordata; Mammalia; Dasyuromorphia; Dasyuridae. The record is from RefSeq and is a predicted model, not a curated record. The transcript is spliced from 3 exons.